AAGUGAUACACUCAUCAUCUUGGAGUUCAUUGCGAGAGGCCUAUGUCCAGCUGCAGUGGACGAAUAUAGUCUGAUAUGAUUAUGAGGAUGACGAUCUA
This is a long non-coding RNA of Aricia agestis (brown argus), 98 nucleotides long. RefSeq lists it as uncharacterized. Lineage: Eukaryota; Metazoa; Arthropoda; Insecta; Lepidoptera; Lycaenidae. The transcript is spliced from 3 exons. The record is from RefSeq and is a predicted model, not a curated record.